UACGUAGGGCGCGAGCGUUGUCCGGAAUUAUUGGGCGUAAAGAGCUCGUAGGUGGUUUGUUGCGUCUGCCGUGAAAACCCGAGGCUUAACCUCGUGGCUUGCGGUGGAUACGGGCAGACUUGAGGUAGGUAGGGGAGAAUGGAAUUCCUGGUGUAGCGGUGGAAUGCGCAGAUAUCAGGAGGAACACCGAUGGCGAAGGCAGAUCUCUGGGCCGUAACUGACGCUGAGGAGCGAAAGCGUGGGGAGCGAACAGG
RNAcentral lists this ribosomal RNA (254 nucleotides) under uncultured bacterium. Its description in RNAcentral is "partial 16S ribosomal RNA". It matches the Rfam family "Bacterial small subunit ribosomal RNA", at positions 524 to 776 of the family's 1533-position model. The record is from RNAcentral.